Molecule: ribosomal RNA, 714 nt
Filed under: Triticum aestivum (bread wheat)
Lineage: Eukaryota; Viridiplantae; Streptophyta; Magnoliopsida; Poales; Poaceae
Description: partial small subunit ribosomal RNA
Source: RNAcentral
AUGUUUCUCACGAGGACGGAGUACGACCGUGGGGUCAACACCUUCUCCCCGGAGGGGCGGCUGUUCCAGGUCGAGUACGCCAUUGAGGCCAUCAAGUUGGGCUCCACUGCAAUCGGCUUGAUGACUAAGGAUGGUGUUGUACUGGCUGUUGAGAAACGUGUCACCUCACCGCUGCUGGAACCAAGCAGUGUGGAGAAAAUCAUGGAAAUUGAUGAGCAUGUCGGCUGUGCCAUGAGUGGCCUUAUUGCUGACGCCAGAACACUGGUUGAGCAUGCUCGUGUUGAGACUCAGAAUCAUAGGUUCUCAUAUGGGGAGCCAAUGACAGUAGAAUCUACCACACAAGCUAUCUGUGACUUGGCUUUGCGCUUUGGUGAAGGUGAUGAAGAAUCAAUGUCACGGCCGUUUGGAGUCUCUCUCCUUAUUGCUGGUCAUGAUGAACAUGGACCCAGCUUGUAUUACACAGACCCAUCGGGGACCUUUUGGCAGUGCAAGGCCAAGGCCAUUGGGUCGGGCUCUGAAGGAGCUGAUAGCUCAUUACAAGAGCAGUACAACAAGGAACUGACCAUCGCUGAGGCAGAGACCAUAGCCCUUUCUAUCCUGAAGCAGGUUAUGGAAGAAAAGGUGACCCCGAACAACGUUGACAUUGCGAAGGUCUCCCCUAGCUACCACCUCUACACCCCUUCUGAGGUUGAAGCGGUCAUCUCGAGGUUGUGA